AACAGUGUUAACCCUUUGUGACUGAUGUGGUAGUCUAGCAGACACCAACAGACACAAAAGAGUAUUUUCUACCGUUAUUUUCCAUACAUCUACUCUCUCGUUCUCUGUACCUUCUUAUUGUGUACUCAUGCCUAUGUUAGUUUGUUCAGAUAGAUUGAUGUAAGCACACGUGCCAUUUUAAGCGAAAAAGUGUCUGCGAGUCAACCAUAUCUACGGUAAGUUUUGUUAUUAUGGAGCAUUCAAACAUAUCGCAAGAUCCACAUUGUUCUAAGARAACCUCAUCUGGAACUUUUAAAAACCGAAAUGAGCUAAUACUACAGUGGCUGGAGAAAGAGAGUGAGCAUGAGUUCAGCGAUAUGGAUGAUGAAUGCAAUGACCCCAAUUUUCAACCAGAAACGGCACUUUUAGAUAAUGAUGAAGACAAUGAAGAACAACAUGCGACUACCUCUGAGACACAAAAUAUUUGUGAAGAAGUGAAUCAACACCCAACAAGCGACUACUACAAAGGUAAGAAAGGAUUUAUGUGGAGUGCAAGAGAGCGACCAAAAACAUCUAGAACAGCAUCCCAUAACAUCRUUAGAUUACCAGGUCGC
Long non-coding RNA from Bactrocera latifrons, 593 nucleotides. RefSeq lists it as uncharacterized. The record is from RefSeq and is a predicted model, not a curated record. The transcript is spliced from 2 exons. Lineage: Eukaryota; Metazoa; Arthropoda; Insecta; Diptera; Tephritidae.